UGGGGAAUAUUGGGCAAUGGGCGGAAGCCUGACCCAGCGACGCCGCGUGGGGGAAGAAGUCUUUCGGGAUGUAAACCCUUGUUGUACGGGACGAAGGAAGUGACGGUACCGUACGAGGAAGCCCCGGCAAACUACGUGCCAGCAGCCGCGGUAAUACGUAGGGGGCGAGCGUUGUCCGGAAUCACUGGGCGUAAAGCGCACGUAGGCGGGCUGUCAAGUCGGCCGUGAAAGGCACGGGCUCAACCUGUGCAUGUCGGUCGAUACUGUCGGUCUGGAGGAUGGGAGGGGGAACGUGAAUUCCCGGUGUAGCGGUGAAAUGCGUAGAUAUCGGGAUGAACACCAGUGGCGAAGGCGGGUUCCUGGCCCAUGACUGACGCUGAGGUGCGAAAGCCGGGGGAGCGAACG
Molecule: ribosomal RNA, 405 nt
Filed under: uncultured prokaryote
Description: bacterial SSU rRNA
Rfam family: Bacterial small subunit ribosomal RNA
Source: RNAcentral